UAAUACGAAGGUGGCUAGCGUUGUUCGGAUUUAUUGGGCGUAAAGGGUCCGCAGGCGGUUUGAUAAGUCAGGUGUGAAAUCCAACAGCUUAACUGUUGACACGCAUUUGAUACUGUCAGACUAGAGUAUGAGAGGGGUGAGAGGAAUUUCCAGUGUAGGGGUGAAAUCCGUAGAUAUUGGAAAGAACACCGGCCGCGAAGGCGUUUCACUGGCUCAUUACUGACGCUCAGGGACGAAAGCUAGGGGAGCAAACGGGAUUAGAUACCCCGGUAGUCCUAGCUGUAAACGAUGAUCACUAGGUGUUGGGAGGGUUAAACCUUUCGGUGCCGCAGCUUACGCAUUAAGUGAUCCGCCUGGGGAGUACGGUCGCAAGGCUG
This 377-nucleotide ribosomal RNA is filed under the name uncultured bacterium. RNAcentral describes it as "bacterial SSU rRNA". It matches the Rfam family "Bacterial small subunit ribosomal RNA", at positions 521 to 896 of the family's 1533-position model. The record is from RNAcentral.